Molecule: non-coding RNA, 45 nt
Organism: Octopus bimaculoides (California two-spot octopus)
Lineage: Eukaryota; Metazoa; Mollusca; Cephalopoda; Octopoda; Octopodidae
Source: Rfam
UAUAUGGUUGUUUUCACAACCAUAUGUAGUUCUAUAAACAUUAUA